Molecule: ribosomal RNA, 301 nt
Filed under: uncultured bacterium
Lineage: Bacteria
Description: partial 16S ribosomal RNA
Rfam family: Bacterial small subunit ribosomal RNA
Source: RNAcentral
CAGCAGCCGCGGUAAUACGGAGGGUGCGAGCGUUAAUCGGAAUUACUGGGCAUAAAGCGUACGCAGGCGGUUUGUUAAGUCAGAUGUGAAAUCCCCGAGCUUAACUCGGGAACUGCAUUUGAAACUGGCAGGCUAGAGUCUCGUAGAGGGGGGUAGAAUUCCAGGUGUAGCGGUGAAAUGCGUAGAGAUCUGGAGGAAUACCGGUGGCGAAGGCGGCCCCCUGGACGAAGACUGACGCUCAGGUACGAAAGCGUGGGGAGCAAACAGGAUUAGAUACCCGCGUAGUCCCUGUCUCUUAUAC